ACCCGCACAAGCGGUGGAUGAUGUGGAUUAAUUCGAUGCAACGCGAAAAACCUUACCUACCCUUGACAUGUCUGGAAGGCCGAAGAGAUUUGGCUGUGCUCGCAAGAGAACCGGAACACAGGUGCUGCAUGGCUGUCGUCAGCUCGUGUCGUGAGAUGUUGGGUUAAGUCCCGCAACGAGCGCAACCCUUGUCAUUAGUUGCUACGAAAGGGCACUCUAAUGAGACUGCCGGUGACAAACCGGAGGAAGGUGGGGAUGACGUCAAGUCCUCAUGGCCCUUAUGGGUAGGGCUUCACACGUCAUACAAUGGUCGGGACAGAGGGUCGCCAACCCGCGAGGGGGAGCCAAUCCCAGAAACCCGAUCGUAGUCCGGAUUGCAGGCUGCAACCCGCCUGCGUGAAGCCGGAGUUGCUAGUAACCGCAGGUCAGCUAUACUGCGGUGAAUACGUUCCCGGGGCUU
Molecule: ribosomal RNA, 460 nt
Filed under: uncultured Achromobacter sp.
Lineage: Bacteria; Pseudomonadati; Pseudomonadota; Betaproteobacteria; Burkholderiales; Alcaligenaceae
Description: bacterial SSU rRNA
Rfam family: Bacterial small subunit ribosomal RNA
Source: RNAcentral